This is a non-coding RNA of Dipodomys ordii (Ord's kangaroo rat), 46 nucleotides long. Lineage: Eukaryota; Metazoa; Chordata; Mammalia; Rodentia; Heteromyidae. The record is from Rfam.
CUAAAGGCCCUUGUAAGGGCCACCCAUUUAAUCAUAAAAGGCGCCU